Molecule: ribosomal RNA, 301 nt
Filed under: uncultured bacterium
Lineage: Bacteria
Description: partial 16S ribosomal RNA
Rfam family: Bacterial small subunit ribosomal RNA
Source: RNAcentral
CAGUCGCCACGGGAAUACGUAGGUGGCAAGCGUUGUCCGGAAUUAUUGGGCGUAAAGCGCGCGCAGGUGGUUUAAUAAGUCUGAUGUGAAAGCCCACGGCUCAACCGUGGAGGGUCAUUGGAAACUGUUAAACUUGAGUGCGGGAGAGAAAAGUGGAAUUCCUAGUGUAGCGGUGAAAUGCGUAGAUAUAUGGAGGAACACCGGUGGCGAAAGCGGCUCUCUGGUCCGUAACUGACGCUGAGGCUCGAAAGCGUGGGGAGCAAACAGGAUUAGAUACCCCCGUAGUCCCUGUCUCUUAUAU